UCGCCCGCCGCGCGCGGCGGGCGGGGCGGGGGCACGGGGGGCCUACGGGAGGCAGCAGUGAGGAAUAUUGCGCGAUGGGGGCAACCCUGACGCAGCGACGCCGCGUGAGUGAGGAAGGCCUUCGGGUCGUAAAGCUCUGUCAAAGGGGAAGAAGUGCAUGGUGGUUAAUAUCUGUCAUGUUUGACGGUACCCUUAAAGGAAGCACCGGCUAACUCCGUGCCAGCAGCCGCGGUAAUA
RNAcentral lists this ribosomal RNA (237 nucleotides) under uncultured bacterium. Its description in RNAcentral is "partial 16S ribosomal RNA". It matches the Rfam family "Bacterial small subunit ribosomal RNA", at positions 284 to 525 of the family's 1533-position model. The record is from RNAcentral.